This 497-nucleotide ribosomal RNA is filed under the name uncultured bacterium. Its description in RNAcentral is "partial 16S ribosomal RNA". It matches the Rfam family "Bacterial small subunit ribosomal RNA", at positions 28 to 507 of the family's 1533-position model. The record is from RNAcentral.
GAUGAACGCUGGCGGCGUGCCUAAUACAUGCAAGUCGAGCGAACAGGCGAGGAGCUUGCUCCUCUGACGUUAGCGGCGGACGGGUGAGUAACACGUGGAUAACCUACCUAUAAGACUGGGAUAACUUCGGGAAACCGGAGCUAAUACGGGAUAAUAUAUUGAACCGCAUGGUUCAAUAGUGAAAGACGGUUUUGCUGUCACUUAUAGAUGGAUCCGCGCCGCAUUAGCUAGUUGGUAAGGUAACGGCUUACCAAGGCAACGAUGCGUAGCCGACCUGAGAGGGUGAUCGGCCACACUGGAACUGAGACACGGUCCAGACUCCUACGGGAGGCAGCAGUAGGGAAUCUUCCGCAAUGGGCGAAAGCCUGACGGAGCAACGCCGCGUGAGUGAUGAAGGUCUUCGGAUCGUAAAACUCUGUUAUUAGGGAAGAACAAAUGUGUAAGUAACUAUGCACGUCUUGACGGUACCUAAUCAGAAAGCCACGGCUAACUACGUG